RNAcentral lists this long non-coding RNA (1143 nucleotides) under Mustela putorius furo (domestic ferret). RNAcentral's name for it is "lncRNA (ENSMPUG00000031887.1)". The record is from RNAcentral. Lineage: Eukaryota; Metazoa; Chordata; Mammalia; Carnivora; Mustelidae.
GUGCUUCUUUUGUUGCUGAAAUUCGGGAAAAGCCAGACCUCAACGACUGGGCACUUUAAAAUGUUCCUGUAUCUGUGACAAAAUUGUAUCGUCACAUAUUUCAUUCGUUUCUUCCCCUACAGGGUGACUGAGCUGAGAGGCAAAGGACCAUGAUUUUGCACCACAAACGUAAUUAAUGCACGUGGGAUAGUCCUAGUCUGCAUAAUCUUGGCAAGACCACAGUUGAUGGGUGUAGUCUACCCUAUUUGGAUUAGCAAAUCCUGCUAAAUUGUUAACUUGCAGUUGAAGAAUUUGGCUCCAGCCUGAUUAUACUAACAGUUUUUAAGAGACACUUAUCAACGGAAGGUUUCUUGCAGAUUCUAUGCUUCCCAGGAGACAUGGAUGAUGUCAUAAGCUAUCAGACAGAUCGCCUUUUCUACAUCAUCCACUAAGUCAUGACUUAACAAAUUCAGACCUGCAAUUGUCCUAGAUGCACCCAGCUAUAUCCCUAGCACUAUUAAUUUUUAGGGAUGAAGCUUGUGAACUUGCAUCAUACUUGAGAAACUGGAGACCAUCUGCAGAGAAUGCCUCAACUUCAGAAGAUCAUUUCUGUGAUCACUUGCUCUUGCAUCUUUCUUGUUUCAAUGGAAGAGAACUCCUAUCAGAAAGAACUCCACCCCUUGUACUCUGGAUCUCAUCCUUCUCUCCUGCUCAAGGACUUGAUUCUUCAAUCAAUGCUUGUGAAGUUUCUUAGAUCUUUUUUUUUUUUUUUUAAAGUUUUAAGUAUGUUCCAUGCCCAACAUAGCACUUGAACUCAUUCAUGACCCCGAGAUCAAGGGUGACAUGCUCUACUGCCCGUGAAAUUUCUUAAUUGAAAAAAAAAAAGACUUAAUAUUUUAUUUUGCUAUAUUCAUACAAAUAAAAUUUUUAAAAAAUUACCUUUUAUGUUGAAACAGAUAUUAGGGUUUUUUUUUUAAACAAUUUAAAAUGUUGCAGUAUUGAUACCUAAAACCUUGGGAGACAGUGGAAAGAUAAUCUUAUGUGAAGCCACAGCUUAAAAAAAUAAAUCAGUGCAAUGACUUUGUCAGAAAACUGUUCUGAAACUUUUUUCCCCCCAUAAAUCACUUGGAUAACUGCCUUCAUUUUCCUUUUUGAAGUUUUAAG